CGCUGGCGGCAGCCUAACACAUGCAAGUCGGACGCUCACGAGGGUUUCGGCCCUGGUGGGAGUGGCGGACGGGUGAGUAGCGCGUGGGAACCUGCCUUGGAGUGGGGGAUAACCGAGGGAAACUUCGGCUAAUACCGCAUGCGCCCCGGCGCGAGCCGGGGGAAAGAUUGAUCGCUCUAAGAGGGGCCCGCGUCGGAUUAGGUAGUUGGUGGGGUAACGGCCUACCAAGCCUGUGAUCCGUAGCUGGUCUGAGAGGAUGAUCAGCCACACUGGGACUGAGACACGGCCCAGACUCCUACGGGAGGCAGCAGUGGGGAAUAUUGGACAAUGGGCGCAAGCCUGAUCCAGCAAUGCCGCGUGAGUGAUGAAGGCCUUAGGGUUGUAAAGCUCUUUCGGCGGGGACGAUGAUGACGGUACCCGCAGAAGAAGCCCCGGCUAACUUCGUGCCAGCAGCCGCGGUAAUACGAAGGGGGCGAGCGUUGUUCGGAUUUACUGGGCGUAAAGGGCGCGUANGCGGCGGACCGAGUCGAGUGUGAAAGCCCCGGGCUC
Molecule: ribosomal RNA, 549 nt
Filed under: uncultured bacterium
Lineage: Bacteria
Description: bacterial SSU rRNA
Rfam family: Bacterial small subunit ribosomal RNA
Source: RNAcentral